UUUAUGGAGAGUUUGAUCCUGGCUCAGGAUGAACGCUGGCGGCGUGCCUAAUACAUGCAAGUCGAGCGAACAGACAAGGAGCUUGCUCCUUUGACGUUAGCGGCGGACGGGUGAGUAACACGUGGGUAACCUACCUAUAAGACUGGGAUAACUUCGGGAAACCGGAGCUAAUACCGGAUAAUAUUUCGAACCGCAUGGUUCGAUAGUGAAAGAUGGUUUUGCUAUCACUUAUAGAUGGACCCGCGCCGUAUUAGCUAGUUGGUAAGGUAACGGCUUACCAAGGCGACGAUACGUAGCCGACCUGAGAGGGUGAUCGGCCACACUGGAACUGAGACACGGUCCAGACUCCUACGGGAGGCAGCAGUAGGGAAUCUUCCGCAAUGGGCGAAAGCCUGACGGAGCAACGCCGCGUGAGUGAUGAAGGUCUUCGGAUCGUAAAACUCUGUUAUUAGGGAAGAACAUACGUGUAAGUAACUAUGCACGUCUUGACGGUAC
This 495-nucleotide ribosomal RNA is filed under the name Staphylococcus haemolyticus. RNAcentral's name for it is "bacterial SSU rRNA". It matches the Rfam family "Bacterial small subunit ribosomal RNA", at positions 1 to 478 of the family's 1533-position model. The record is from RNAcentral. Lineage: Bacteria; Bacillati; Bacillota; Bacilli; Caryophanales; Staphylococcaceae.